Molecule: small nuclear RNA, 173 nt
Filed under: Neotoma lepida (desert woodrat)
Lineage: Eukaryota; Metazoa; Chordata; Mammalia; Rodentia; Cricetidae
Description: 7SK RNA
Rfam family: 7SK RNA
About the family: 7SK was discovered as an abundant small nuclear RNA in the mid-70s but a possible function has only recently been suggested. Two independent studies have found that 7SK RNA binds the CDK9/cyclin T complex (known as elongation factor P-TEFb).
Source: Rfam by way of RNAcentral
AGAUGUGAGUGUGACCUGGCUGCAACAACUGUCACUCUAUUGAUCACCAGAGUUAACUGAGCUAUGCAGACAUCCCUUUCUCCAUCACCAAACCUUGUGUGCCCAUCCCAAAGCUGUACACUUGGUUGAAAAGAAUGAUCUUCCCUGCUAGAAGAGGACCAUUCUUCAAGAUA